UACGGGGGGGGGCAAGCGUUGUUCGGAAUUACUGGGCGUAAAGGGCUCGUAGGCGGCCAACUAAGUCAGACGUGAAAUCCCCCAGGCUCAACCUGGGAACUGCGUCUGAUACUGGAUGGCUUGAAUCCGGGAGAGGGAUGCAGAAUUCCAGGUGUAGCGGUGAAAUGCGUAGAUAUCUGGAGGAAUACCGGUGGCGAAGGCGGCAUCCUGGGACCGGCAUUGACGCUGAGGAGCGAAAGCCAGGGGAGCAAACGGG
RNAcentral lists this ribosomal RNA (256 nucleotides) under uncultured bacterium. RNAcentral's name for it is "partial 16S ribosomal RNA". It matches the Rfam family "Bacterial small subunit ribosomal RNA", at positions 524 to 776 of the family's 1533-position model. The record is from RNAcentral.